GGAAAGCAGUCCCUUCAGCAGACCCUGCUUCAAUACAAGAAAAGGAAGACAGCUGGCUGACUAAGUAUGCUUCUUCUCCAUGAACGGUAACAAGCUUUCCAUUCCUUAUGAACUUCAACUUCUGAUGUAAGGUGGAAGUAACCGCACCCGCAUCGUGUAUCCACGGUCUUCCCAGCAGACAACUGUAGGAUGCAUUAAUG
Molecule: long non-coding RNA, 200 nt
Filed under: Medicago truncatula (barrel medic)
Lineage: Eukaryota; Viridiplantae; Streptophyta; Magnoliopsida; Fabales; Fabaceae
Description: long non-coding RNA (MTRU_LNC003130)
Source: RNAcentral